RNAcentral lists this long non-coding RNA (3476 nucleotides) under Sus scrofa (pig). RNAcentral describes it as "lncRNA (ENSSSCG00000061818.1)". The record is from RNAcentral. Lineage: Eukaryota; Metazoa; Chordata; Mammalia; Artiodactyla; Suidae.
CAACUUAGAAUAGAUUUACAAGGAGAUCCUGCUGAAUAGCAUUGAGAACUAUGUCUAGAUACUCAUGUUGCAGCAGAACAAAGGGUGAGGAAAAAAUGUAAUAUAUACAUGUAAGGAUAACUUGAUCCCCUUGCUAUACAGUGGGAAAAUAAAAUAAAAAAAAAUUAAAAAAAAAAAACCCUAGCCUCUGGAGUUCCCAUCGUGGUUCAGUGGUUAAGGAACCUGACUAGUAUCCAUGAGAAUGUGGGUUCGAUCCCUGGCCUCACGGUGUUGCCGUGAGCUGUGGUGUAGGUUGCAGACAAGGCUCAGAUCCCACAUUGCUGUGGCUCUGGCGUAGGCUGGCAGCUACAGCUCUGUUUCCACCCCUAGCCUGGGAACCUCUGUAUACCAUGGGUGCAGCCCUAAAAGACAAAAAAAAAAGUCUCUGAGGGAUUAUAGAAAGGCUCAGGAUCCUAGUCCUAGUCAGUAAUAGAGUGACAGACUGAAAUCCAGAAUUGUGCUUUUGUCUGUGGUCGCACAUUUUAAAGAAAGCAAAGGUCAUUGCCUUUAGGGAGUUUAUCAUCAAAUGAAGUUUCUAGAAAAGUGCAAGGAAACAUGUCAAGAAUAUAUAGUGGGGAGUUCCCAUUGUGGCUUAGCAGGUUAAGAACCCAACUUAGUAUCCAUGAGGAUGUGAAUUGGAUCCCUGGCCUUGCACAGUUGGAUUAAGGAUCUGUGUUGCCACAAGCGGCAGCGUAGGUUGCAGACGCAGCUCAGAUCUGGUAUUGCCAUGUCUGUGGCAUAUGCCUAAGCUGCAACUCUGAUUCGACUCCUAUCCCAGGAACUUCCAUAUGCUGCAGGUGUCUCUGUAAAGAUAAAAAAAAAAAAAAGGAAUGUAUGUUGGGAAUAUGUGUAACAGUCCAAAACUAGCUACUGGUAUGAAUCAAGUGCAGGGGGCUGUCUGGCAUGAUUAGAGCAGGGUGGGUGAGACUCAUCAAGAGACAAGAAAGAAAAGGUGAGUUUGAAGCCACAUUCAGAAGAUUUGGUUCUUUUUGCAGGGACCUGUAUUUUCCCCUCUGUGUUUUAAAGGUAAAACAUGGAUCCAUGAGACACUGAAUAGCAGGAGGGUGUCUAUGGAGAAGACCAUCAUGUCGAUGUCACUAAAACCCAUUAAUGAAGUGGAAAAUGUGUGCAAGUCAUGGGCAGGGCACCAAAAGCACCUUGAUUUUCCUGAAGUAGAAGGUACAGCUCUUCAAUUACAUGCUGAGGGCAUUGGUCGGUGUUCCUUGACCCUGAGCCUAUAGCAGGAGCAGCCAACUAGGCAGGGCAGGGUGUCAGGGUACUUGGACUCAAGGUCAAUGCUUUCCUCUUUCUUUCUCUUCUGAGAAAGUAAAAUCAGGGUCAUUAUUGCUCAACAGCUCUGGAAAAAGUGUUGUCCACAGUAGUUCAAACCAACCUUAACUUUUCUCCAUAAGGGAGAAAUCAUUAAAAACACGCUUUGGCAAUGAGUUCCUAUUGUACAGCACAGGGAACUAUAUCUAAUCUCUUGAUAUAGAACAUGAUGGAAGGUAGUAUGAGAAAAAUAACAUAUAUGUGUGUAUAUAUAUAUAUAUGCAUAUGACUGUGUCACUGUGCUGUACAGCAGAAACUGGCACAACAUUGUAAAUCGACUAUAAUUUAAGAAAUUUUAAAAAAAAGAAGAAGAAAUGUAAGAAAACAAUGCUUUGGAAAAGAAGAUAGAAGCUGACCCACAGAAGAGGAAGGGAACAAAGGAAAUGUUUAUAGAGUAAGCCUGAUUAGUUUCUGUUGUGGUAGCCUGGGCCAUUUCAAAUAGAGGACCAUGUCAUGAAUUCCAGUCUCACAUCUAGCUCGUGAAGGAAAGGUAUUCAGAUAGAGAACAGGUCAUUAUAACAAUGUCUUCAAAAACUGCCUUACUGAUUUAAGCACUUUAUAUUGUAGGAUCCAGGAAAUCAGAUGUAUUUUCCUAAAGAAAAUCUUCAUCCAUAAUAUAAAAAUCAAUGCGCUCUAUAUGAGCAUGAAAGAGAUUCAUUGUGAAUGGGAAAGGCGAACUGAAGACGGAUGACCCUAUUUAAGCAUUUUAAAAUAUAAUUUUACCUGUUAAUUUUUUUUUCUUUUACACUGAUUAAUAUCAUUGGCUCUAGGAGAAGAAUGUAUAAAGAGUAAAUUGAAACUGUGGAGAUUAGCUCCUCUACUAAAAUGUGAGGGCACAGGAGGCAGAAUAUAAAGCUAGCACAUGCUGCUUGAUGACUUACCCAUCCUUGAUAAGGGCCCUGGAAACCAAAGGAUGCUGUCAGCAGAAUCAGCAGUUUUAAUUACACUGGCAUGAGCCUCUCCAAUGUGAGGGCAGCCCGAUUAGAACUGAUGAACCUUGGCUAAUAAAAAGCCUUACAGGUUAUGAAAUUAUACAUUAUAAUUGAAGAAAAUCACCAUUAUCUUAGUGUUUUUUUUCUUUCCCGGUGCUUUAAUGAUUAGUCCAAGAGGAAAGAGAAGCCUGACUUUGCAUUCCUCUCUUCAGUGUGUUUUAUUUACACUGAAAGUAUGAAUCAAAGGGCACCAUGGCCAAUACCAUUUUCUUAUUAGGAAAGACCUUUGGCUUCAAGAAACUUUCUGGUUAAAUCCAGUUUUCACUUUAUAUAUGAUGACUGUCAAGUCACACAUAGGCCUGGGGAGGGAAGAUUAAAAUUUUUUUUUUUCUGGUUUGGCUUCCUCUGUGUUGGGCACAAUACAACAAUACAGAGUUGUUUUCUUGUUUUUGGUUUGGGAGAUUUUUAAAAAUUACUAAAAAGGUAGGAGACAGCUGGCUCUUGGAUUGAUGCAUAAAUCUUCCCAUUUCUGAAUGCUGUGAUUAAUUGCGUGCAUGUGAAAGAUUACCUGGAGUUAUGAUAAGGGAAUACUGAUGCCUUUAGUCAUUGUCAUGAAUCACACCCAUCAUUUCCCUCUUGAAAGACAUGCCAAGAUAAUGCUGCUUGAUCCAAAUACUUGCAGUGUUUAUAUUAGAGGACUUAGACCAACAUUUUUCUGUACAUCUGUCGAAAGCGUGGCCAAAAUCUGGCUUUUCAUUGUGGGAAAUCUAAUCUGUCACUGAGAAAGUCAAAACAAAAGGCAGUUAUCACAUGUGGGACGAUAUACUGUUUGCCACGUCAUGAAAGAAGAGUAUACUUUCAUUUGUUCAAUCUUCCUGUCUUCUUUCUGUCUUCCCACAAAUAUUGCUGGGGUGCACAUUGGGAAAUAAGAGUAAAAGAGCCUAGGACCUAUUUUCUGGGAGUUCCUGUCUGAUGACUUACCCAUCCUUGAUAAGGGCCCUGGAAACCAAAGGCACAGUGAAUUAAGAAUCCAACUGCAGUAGCUCAGGUUACUCUGGCUGUGCAGGUUCUAUCGCUGGCCCAACACAGUGGGUUAAAGGAUCUAGCAUUGCUGUAGCUGCAGUUCAAAUUCAGUCCCUGGCCUAGGAAUUCCCAUAUACCAUCGGUGCAUGGUAU